UACGUAGGGGGCUAGCGUUGUCCGGAAUCAUUGGGCGUAAAGAGCGUGUAGGCGGCCCGGUAAGUCCGCUGUGAAAGUCAAAGGCUCAACCUUUGAAUGUCAGUGGAUACUGCCGGGCUAGAGUCCGGAAGAGGCGAGUGGAACUCCUGGUGUAGCGGUGGAAUGCGCAGAUAUCAGGAAGAACACCGACGGCGAAGGCAGCUCGCUGGGACGGUACUGACGCUGAGACGCGAAAGCGUGGGGAGCGAACAGG
This 253-nucleotide ribosomal RNA is filed under the name uncultured bacterium. RNAcentral's name for it is "partial 16S ribosomal RNA". It matches the Rfam family "Bacterial small subunit ribosomal RNA", at positions 524 to 776 of the family's 1533-position model. The record is from RNAcentral.